AUAGCUUGUAGCUUUUCUCUUAAAAGAAUUGAUGAUUUUAUUAGUGCUUGCUAUUGUUCAGAAUUAAAAUAAUUUUAUGAUGAUUGAAUUCUUUUUGAUGUUUACCCAUCUAUGUUGUUUCUGAUACUAUCACAUUCGUAGCUUGAAAUUUAAAAUUCUAUAGCAUGCUCUUAUAUUGUCACUCUCUUGUAAGUAUAACGGGUGAAGAAACUCAUCAAGUGCUCAUCUCUAGUUGUGAUUUGUUGGGUUGCCUCAUGUAUCUUGGAGAAAUUUGUUCAGUUUCCUUAAAUUUUAUGUGCACACAACAAUUUCAUUAUCUCUCACAGUCUCUUUUACUUUGAAGUUUGAUUAUGCACAUGCUAUGGUAUGUAAAUAGACUAUCCUUUUCUGUCUGCCUGAAA
This 401-nucleotide unclassified non-coding RNA is filed under the name Hevea brasiliensis (rubber tree). Lineage: Eukaryota; Viridiplantae; Streptophyta; Magnoliopsida; Malpighiales; Euphorbiaceae. The record is from RNAcentral.